This is a long non-coding RNA of Polypterus senegalus (gray bichir), 488 nucleotides long. RefSeq lists it as uncharacterized. The record is from RefSeq and is a predicted model, not a curated record. Lineage: Eukaryota; Metazoa; Chordata; Cladistia; Polypteriformes; Polypteridae. The transcript has 3 exons.
UGCUCUGAACACCCAGGCCAGUGGACCUUAACAGAUGGAGAAGUAUUGGUGGAGCUGCAGAAGUAACAGUCUCUCAGCUGUCUUCUUUCCUUGUACUGAUGCUGCAAACAACACAUCAGAUCCUGAAUCUCAGCUUUAAGACUCUCCAUCAACAACUCAGAAGAGCCCAGAAAAUCCACUUUGAUCACAGCGGCAUUCAGCACUUAGCUGAGUCAGAACAUAGGUCCUUCUCUUUGUCCUGCUUCUGACACCAAUGUAACACUGAAGCCAGCAGUUGGAUCUGAUCGAAUUUCUGCGUCAUGCAGCAUUAAAACCUCAAUUAUUUCUUGGGCAAACCUCAGCGUGCCAUUGAUGCACUUCCCUGAUGUCUGAUCUCCCCACGUCUCAGUCUCUUGGCAACUGAUCACGUCUCCUCAUCUGACCACCUCUCCCCACCACCCUCUAGCAGAUUCCUUACCUGGAACUGGGUGCCUGAUCCUCCUAAUAUG